RNAcentral lists this ribosomal RNA (127 nucleotides) under uncultured eukaryote. RNAcentral's name for it is "partial 18S ribosomal RNA". It matches the Rfam family "Eukaryotic small subunit ribosomal RNA", at positions 1299 to 1458 of the family's 1831-position model. The record is from RNAcentral.
UGGUGGAGUGAUCUGUCUGGUUAAUUCCGAUAACGAACGAGACCUCAACCUGCUAAAUAGUUCUACUCGGGUAAAACUUCUUAGAGGGACUUCCAAGGCUACUUGGAGGAAGUGUGAGGCAAUAACA